AGACCCGAAACCCGGUGAUCUAGCCAUGGGCAGGUUGAAGGUUGGGUAACACUAACUGGAGGACCGAACCGACUAAUGUUGAAAAAUUAGCGGAUGACCUGUGGCUGGGGGUGAAAGGCCAAUCAAACCGGGAGAUAGCUGGUUCUCCCCGAAAGCUAUUUAGGUAGCGCCUCGUGAAUUCAUCUCCGGGGGUAGAGCACUGUUUCGGCUAGGGGGCCAUCCCGGCUUACCAACCCGAUGCAAACUGCGAAUACCGGAGAAUGUUAUCACGGGAGACACACGGCGGGUGCUAACGUCCGUCGUGAAGAGGGAAACAACCCAGACCGCCAGCUAAGGUCCCAAAGUCAUGGUUAAGUGGGAAACGAUGUGGGAAGGCCCAGACAGCCAGGAUGUUGGCUUAGAAGCAGCCAUCAUUUAAAGAAAGCGUAAUAGCUCACUGGUCGAGUCGGCCUGCGCGGAAGAUGUAACGGGGCUAAACCAUGCACCGAAGCUGCGGCAGCGACACUGUGUGUUGUUGGGUAGGGGAGCGUUCUGUAAGCCUGCGAAGGUGGCCUGUGAGGGUUGCUGGAGGUAUCAGAAGUGCGAAUGCUGACAUAAGUAACGAUAAAGCGGGUGAAAAGCCCGCUCGCCGGAAGACCAAGGGUUCCUGUCCAACGUUAAUCGGGGCAGGGUGAGUCGACCCCUAAGGCGAGGCCGAAAGGCGUAGUCGAUGGGAAACGGGUUAAUAUUCCCGUACUUGGUGUUACUGCGAAGGGGGGACGGAGAAGGCUAUGUUGGCCGGGCGACGGUUGUCCCGGUUUAAGCGUGUAGGUGUGUGUUCCAGGUAAAUCCGGUUCACUUUAACACUGAGGCGUGACGACGAGGCACUACGGUGCUGAAGCAACAAAUGCCCUGCUUCCAGGAAAAGCCUCUAAGCAUCAGGUAACAUCAAAUCGUACCCCAAACCGACACAGGUGGUCAGGUAGAGAAUACCAAGGCGCUUGAGAGAACUCGGGUGAAGGAACUAGGCAAAAUGGUGCCGUAACUUCGGGAGAAGGCACGCUGACACGUAGGUGAAGUGAUUUACUCAUGGAGCUGAAGUCAGUCGAAGAUACCAGCUGGCUGCAACUGUUUAUUAAAAACACAGCACUGUGCAAACACGAAAGUGGACGUAUACGGUGUGACGCCUGCCCGGUGCCGGAAGGUUAAUUGAUGGGGUCAGCGCAAGCGAAGCUCCUGAUCGAAGCCCCGGUAAACGGCGGCCGUAACUAUAACGGUCCUAAGGUAGCGAAAUUCCUUGUCGGGUAAGUUCCGACCUGCACGAAUGGCGUAAUGAUGGCCAGGCUGUCUCCACCCGAGACUCAGUGAAAUUGAACUCGCUGUGAAGAUGCAGUGUACCCGCGGCAAGACGGAAAGACCCCGUGAACCUUUACUAUAGCUUGACACUGAACAUUGAGCCUUGAUGUGUAGGAUAGGUGGGAGGCUUUGAAGUGUGGACGCCAGUCUGCAUGGAGCCGACCUUGAAAUACCACCCUUUAAUGUUUGAUGUUCUAACGUGGACCCGUUACCCGGGUUGCGGACAGUGUCUGGUGGGUAGUUUGACUGGGGCGGUCUCCUCCUAAAGAGUAACGGAGGAGCACGAAGGUUGGCUAAUCCUGGUCGGACAUCAGGAGGUUAGUGCAAUGGCAUAAGCCAGCUUGACUGCGAGCGUGACGGCGCGAGCAGGUGCGAAAGCAGGUCAUAGUGAUCCGGUGGUUCUGAAUGGAAGGGCCAUCGCUCAACGGAUAAAAGGUACUCCGGGGAUAACAGGCUGAUACCGCCCAAGAGUUCAUAUCGACGGCGGUGUUUGGCACCUCGAUGUCGGCUCAUCACAUCCUGGGGCUGAAGUAGGUCCCAAGGGUAUGGCUGUUCGCCAUUUAAAGUGGUACGCGAGCUGGGUUUAGAACGUCGUGAGACAGUUCGGUCCCUAUCUGCCGUGGGCGCUGGAGAACUGAGGGGGGCUGCUCCUAGUACGAGAGGACCGGAGUGGACGCAUCACUGGUGUUCGGGUUGUCAUGCCAAUGGCACUGCCCGGUAGCUAAAUGCGGAAGAGAUAAGUGCUGAAAGCAUCUAAGCACGAAACUUGCCCCGAGAUGAGUUCUCCCUGAGACUUAGAGUCUCCUGAAGGAACGUUGAAGACGACGACGUUGAUAGGCCGGGUGUGUAAGCGCAGCGAUGCGUUGAGC
This 2204-nucleotide ribosomal RNA is filed under the name Salmonella enterica subsp. enterica serovar Enteritidis. Its description in RNAcentral is "partial 23S ribosomal RNA". It matches the Rfam family "Bacterial large subunit ribosomal RNA", at positions 711 to 2891 of the family's 2925-position model. The record is from RNAcentral. Lineage: Bacteria; Pseudomonadati; Pseudomonadota; Gammaproteobacteria; Enterobacterales; Enterobacteriaceae.